RNAcentral lists this transfer RNA (75 nucleotides) under Candidatus Roizmanbacteria bacterium RIFCSPHIGHO2_02_FULL_43_11. Its description in RNAcentral is "tRNA-Asp". It matches the Rfam family "tRNA". Rfam says of the family: Transfer RNA (tRNA) molecules are approximately 80 nucleotides in length. Their secondary structure includes four short double-helical elements and three loops (D, anti-codon, and T loops). Lineage: Bacteria; Candidatus Roizmaniibacteriota. RNAcentral also lists the same sequence under 2 other names. The record is from RNAcentral.
GGGAUCGUAGCUCAGUCCGGUUAGAGCGCAGCCCUGUCAAGGCUGAGGUCGCGGGUUCGAGUCCCGUCGGUCCCG